GACAGUGCGGUGUAGUGGUUUUGACUGCUGGACUAUGACUCUGGAGACCAGGGUUCAAGUCCCUGCUCGGUUA
Molecule: non-coding RNA, 73 nt
Organism: Phrynosoma platyrhinos (Desert horned lizard)
Lineage: Eukaryota; Metazoa; Chordata; Lepidosauria; Squamata; Phrynosomatidae
Source: the annotation of a GenBank genome assembly